UUUCCGUAGGUGAACCUGCGGAAGGAUCAUUGCUGAAAUAUAUUUGCCAAUAUAUAUGUCCGUUCACACCCGUGCAUUCUUAACGUGAGAGGGGGGAGACCCCCCCUUGCGUCUUUAUACAUAUAAUAACACAUGCCUGUCGUUAUGCGUGCGAUUUGAGAAACAGUCUAAAUAAGACAGACACAACUUUCAACAACGGAUCUCUUGGCUUUCGCAUCGAUGAAGAACGCAGC
Molecule: unclassified non-coding RNA, 233 nt
Filed under: uncultured fungus
Lineage: Eukaryota; Fungi
Description: sequence contains ITS1, 5.8S rRNA gene
Rfam family: 5.8S ribosomal RNA (bases 185-233)
Source: RNAcentral